GUAUUAUGCGCGUUGUACUUUGUCCCAGAGCGAUGUAAAGUAUUAGCAUUAUCCUCGUCAGAUUAUCGUGUUCAAACCGUGACGGUUGGUUCAGACGUGGAAAUCCCUUGUAUCAGCGACGAUUCAUGUCUAUCCACAAUUCUCCGUUAUAGUUCGGUUCCUAGCUUAUCCGAAAGAACAUUUAUUAUGCACCACUUCAAAGGUCAAGGUCUCAAGAUUCAUGAAAGUUAUAAAGGACGCGUCGCACUUCAUAAUUCAACGAAAGUAAUCUUGCAGAAUGUCAGAGUUUAUGAUAGUGGAUUCUAUGUAUGUAAUGUUUUUUUUAAAAACGGCUCAGAAGACAUCUACCGAAUUCAUUUGAAAAUUGGAGGAAUAAAAGCACCGCUCAGAUUAAGAGGGCCAUCCAGUGCAAAAGGCAUCGGUCGUGUCGAGGUAUUUUACAACGGAACCUGGGGG
This is a long non-coding RNA of Dendronephthya gigantea, 456 nucleotides long. RefSeq lists it as uncharacterized. Lineage: Eukaryota; Metazoa; Cnidaria; Anthozoa; Malacalcyonacea; Nephtheidae. The transcript has 3 exons. The record is from RefSeq and is a predicted model, not a curated record.